Molecule: ribosomal RNA, 492 nt
Filed under: uncultured bacterium
Lineage: Bacteria
Description: partial 16S ribosomal RNA
Rfam family: Bacterial small subunit ribosomal RNA
Source: RNAcentral
AGUGAACGCUGGCGGUAGGCCUAACACAUUCAAGUCGAACGGCAGCACAGUAAGAGCUUGCUCUUACGGGUGGCGAGUGGCGGACGGGUGAGGAAUACAUCGGAAUCUACUUUUUCGUGGGGGAUAACGUAGGGAAACUUACGCUAAUACCGCAUACGACCUACGGGUGAAAGCAGGGGAUCUUCGGACCUUGCGCGAUUGAAUGAGCCGAUGUCGGAUUAGCUAGUUGGCGGGGUAAAGGCCCACCAAGGCGACGAUCCGUAGCUGGUCUGAGAGGAUGAUCAGCCACACUGGAACUGAGACACGGUCCAGACUCCUACGGGAGGCAGCAGUGGGGAAUAUUGUACAAUGGGCGCAAGCCUGAUCCAGCCAUACCGCGUGGGUGAAGAAGGCCUUCGGGUUGUAAAGCCCUUUUGUUGGGAAAGAAAAGCAGCAGGUUAAUACCCCGCUGUUCUGACGGUACCCAAAGAAUAAGCACCGGCUAACUUCGUG